Long non-coding RNA from Eucalyptus grandis, 1768 nucleotides. RefSeq lists it as uncharacterized. The record is from RefSeq and is a predicted model, not a curated record. The transcript is spliced from 4 exons. NCBI's taxonomy places the organism in Eukaryota, Viridiplantae, Streptophyta, Magnoliopsida, Myrtales, Myrtaceae.
UCUGAUUCCACUUCAAGUGAAACUUCAGUUCGUGUGGAAAAGUACCUUAGGGUUUCCACCAUGGCUUGUGCCUCCGCUUGAGCUGCUGAAGACCCCUUGAUAGAUCGGGAAAAACCGUCAAUUAGCCUCCAUCAAUGUUGAUUUUGAGUUCCCCUGGCUCUGGUGGCCGCCAUUGAUGGAGGUGGAAGCUUGCUGCGUUUUUGGUUUUCUUCUUCGGAGGGAGCCACCGAUCAUGAUUUCGUUGCAUCGCAACAGCUUCAUCCACUACCUGCUGUGGAUCUGGUUUUUUCUCUCGAAAAACAAAGUGAUUUCGAGCUUUCCAUAUUUGCCAAAGAACAAACGCUAGAAGCUCAAAGGAGGCCGAGAUUUUCCUCGUCCAUGAACAAAGAAGGAGAGCGUGUUCUACGGUUUCCGGGCAUUGAUUACAGAGACUGCAAAGGGGAUGAGGUCCAUGAGGCAACAAGCAUCUAAGAAAUCCUGGAAAGCCUUCAUGUGGUAAUUCUCUGCCACCCGCAUACCAACUUUUUCCCACAGGUAGAGAAUUUCAUUAAAAUCACCAGCACAAAUCCAUGGAAGGUUAUUCGAGUGACUGAUCUGGCACAAUUCCUCCCAAAGAUGAAGUCUUCCUUGAAAAUCGUUUGGUGCGUAAACAAAAGUGAUUCGCAUUCUCCGCCCACUUCCUAUGUAUUCCCCAAUCACAUUCACAAAGUGUGGAGAGUGUGAUUCUACUGUAACUAAAAUCCUAUUAUCCCAAAAGAGUGCCAACCCCCCUGCCGUCCCCACUGGAUUCACCACAAACAAAUUCUGAAACUGCAAACGUCGUUUUAGACGAAAUACCAUUUUUUCUUGAUUUUUUGUUUCCAUUAAGAACAUUAAACUGGGCCUCUCCUCAGCCACUAGGGCUUGGAUGGCUUGAAUUGUCAGGGGUGUGCCCAACCCUUGACAAUUCCAACAUAGGAAAUUCAUUUGUAACCCGACGGCUUAUUCGGGCUAGCCACCAGAGCCCUUUUUUCAGUCUCUACUACCAACUUGACAGGUGUAUCAAGUAGCUGGGAUUCAUCAAAUUCCAAUAUGUUAGGUUGCUGAGUAUCAUAAGGAUUGUACCUUGCUUUUUUAGCACUUGGAAUUUUCUUCUUGCAAAGUUUUUUCUUCUGAUAAACUGGGACUAAGGCUGUAUUUACCUCUGUCUGUGGAGGAAUCGUGACAAAAGGUGGGAUUGUUUCAGUCAUUUGGCAUUCUUGCACCUCAACAUAGCAUUCUUCUAGAGAUGCCAUUCGUUGCUGUGAGUCUUCUGCCUCUUCCAUGGCAGCCGAGCUGAAAGGAUUCAAGCUUUGGAAUCAGACAAUCCAAUCAGUGAGGGAUGAUUGAGCGGGCGGGUGUAAAAGGGUUUUUUACAGUUAUUAUAAAGUUGGCCCUCGUGCUUUAUUCCUAUGAGCGAGAGAAUAAAAUAUGCAGAGCAAGGAACCAGAUAGAUGGUAUAGUAAUUCGGAAGAAGCAUCUGAUAGACUCGCUAAAUGGCUUCGAAGACUAGGAGCGGCGACUUGCGAGUGUAGCAUGUUGCUGAGCUCCAUUAUCAUGUAUGUUAUGGCCUCCUUGACCCUCUCUUGAGAUGUCUUGUUGAGUUGAAUUGCCCACUGGCUUGAAAUUGGCUUUAGGCUUGGGCAACUUCUUUGAAAGACCCAGUCUGUAAAUUAUUCGAAUAGUUCGUGAUCCCUGUCCUUCAAUUGCCUUGUAAUGAUGCAUCUCUCCUCUUCUGAGAUCUUUUGAA